AGCGAACGUUAGCGGCGCGCCUAACACAUGCAAGUCGCACGAGAAACGGAGCAAUCCGCGGUACAGUGGCGCACGGGUGAGUAACACGUGGAUGACCGUUCCCUGGAGUGGUGGAUAACCUGCCGAAAGGCGGGCUAAUACAGCAUGGGACCACGACGCUUUGGCGAUGUGGUGAAAGCGGGCCUCUAUAUAUAAGCUCGCGCUCCGGGACGGGUCCGCGUCCCAUCAGCUAGUUGGUGAGGUAACGGCUCACCAAGGCUUCGACGGGUAGCUGGUCUGAGAGGAUGGCCAGCCACACUGGAACUGAGACACGGUCCAGACUCCUACGGGAGGCAGCAGUGGGGAAUCUUGCGCAAUGGGCGAAAGCCUGACGCAGCGACGCCGCGUGGGCGAAGAAGGCCUCGGUGUAAG
This 411-nucleotide ribosomal RNA is filed under the name uncultured bacterium. RNAcentral's name for it is "bacterial SSU rRNA". It matches the Rfam family "Bacterial small subunit ribosomal RNA", at positions 30 to 429 of the family's 1533-position model. The record is from RNAcentral.